This 514-nucleotide ribosomal RNA is filed under the name uncultured bacterium. RNAcentral's name for it is "bacterial SSU rRNA". It matches the Rfam family "Bacterial small subunit ribosomal RNA", at positions 16 to 507 of the family's 1533-position model. The record is from RNAcentral.
AUCCUGGCUCAGAGCGAACGUUAGCGGCGGGCCUAACACAUGCAAGUCGAACGCGAAAGGUCUUCGGACUGAGUAGAGUGGCGCACGGGUGAGUAACACGUAGGUAAUCUACCCUUUGGCGGGGGAUAACGUUCCGAAAGGAGCGCUAAUACCGCAUAAGACCACGUGGUCUCCGGACCGAGUGGGAAAAAGGUGGCCUCUUCUUGAAAGCUACCACCGAAGGAUGAGCCUGCGUCCCAUCAGCUAGUUGGUAAGGUAAUGGCUUACCAAGGCAAAGACGGGUAGCUGGUUUGAGAGAAUGAUCAGCCACACUGGCACUGGAACACGGGCCAGACUCCUACGGGAGGCAGCAGUGAGGAAUAUUGGGCAAUGGGCGAAAGCCUGACCCAGCCACGCCGCGUGAGUGAUGAAGGCCCUCGGGUCGUAAAGCUCUGUGGAGAGGGACGAAAACCCUGGUUUCAAAUAGGCUCCAGGCUUGACGGUACCUCUUUAGCAAGCACCGGCUAACUCUGUG